This 6222-nucleotide long non-coding RNA is filed under the name Sus scrofa (pig). Its description in RNAcentral is "lncRNA (ENSSSCG00000055517.1)". Lineage: Eukaryota; Metazoa; Chordata; Mammalia; Artiodactyla; Suidae. The record is from RNAcentral.
UUCCAUGGAGGAAAGAGCAGCUGUGAGCCAUGAACAGCCAGGACUCACCACCGCAGAGUGGUGGGAGCCCUGGCCUGGUGAAGGGACCUGGGCGGGACUUCAGGAUCCUGCUCUCUGCAGGUCAGCCACUGGAAUACAAGAAUUCUCUCCAUACCACAAUUUACCUGCAAUUUGUUAGGAUGGGACAGUCCACACAAAGAAAUGCACUCAGACAUGGCUCCGAAAGACUCACCUCCGUGGCCCAGGGCAGAUGAUUCUAGAGGAUGGCUCUCUGUCCGCACUUAGAAAACAUGCACAGCCCCUCAAAGAGUGCAGCGCCAGCAGCGGCUGCCACCUCUGAAUGUCUGCCUGGCCAUCUGGUGCUUCCAGGAUGUGUGGAUGCCCUCUGACAUCUUCCAGCCCUGUCCCCACGCCUAGUGGUAGCUGCUGGCCCCUGCCUCCUGGUGCUUUGGUUACUACUUCCUAUUGCAGAUGUGCAGACCCAGCAGACUUAGCAGGAGUAUGGGGAGGGCAAGGCUGGUGACCUAAAGGAAGUUUUUGUAUCUACGAAGUCUCAUUUCACCCUGAAAACUGACCCCUCCUCCAUAGACCUGGUCUUUGGAACAAGUGGAAUCUCUCUUUGAGGGCUAUUUUAAUCCUAAAUGGAGAGAAAUAGGUAUAAAAACAACAAAGUUCACAAAAUGGGGAAAAAAAUUAAUCUCUGGUUAUUGCAGCCAGACCAGCAGUGGUGGGGGGAUGGGUGGGUAAAGGGGAUCCAGGAAGCAGAGAUGAGCUUUGACACAGUAGCCUUGCUUUCCAAUGUGUUAAUUGCUGAGCACAUUAAGUGCUUGCGGAGAGAAAGGAGAGUCGCUACAUCGUAAUGCAUCCAUGGCAACUCAGUGUCAAGAUGUCUUUCCGUGACCCUUGUGGCACUUUGUGUUAAGAAAGCCCCAUUCCAGCUUCUCCGUCAAAAACACUGCUGUUCUGGAGGAUCUUACUCUCAGCAAUAUAAGGAGCUAUUGUUCCACUUCUUGGAAAUAAGAUGGUGGUGGGAACAAGAGCUGUUAUUGCAGGCUCAUCAGAGUUUAUUAUUUCCAUCAAAGAGAUAAAGCAAGGGAGUCCUCAGGCAGGCUUAGCUGAAAUAUUACAGGGGCUAAGAGGUGAACUUGAAAAACCUUUCAUUUUAAGCUUGCAGCUGCUGUGUGCACUGAAAAUACAACAAGGAAGAACUCACCCAAGAACAACCACCAUGAAAUUGAGCAACGUUUAUUAAUCUUUGCUUCUGUCUCUCGGAUGGUUCGAUAGCAAGCAGCCAUAAGCUCAUUUAGGGGAAAAGCCUCAUAAGUUAAUGACUCCUCCUUCCCCAACUGCCCCAAACAAACAAAAACAGAGGGAAAAUCUAGGGUAUUCAUAUGCUGAUGAAGAGGAAACCAUCUUCAAGCACACACUCAUAACUCUUUAAAUUUUGGUCCUUCUCAGAGUCCUGUGACGCUGAUUUGGGCUACUAAAGCCAUGCGAUUCAUUUGAUAACUGUGACCCAGUGAAUGUCUAUGUCAGCAGCUGACCAAGGGGAAAACAGACAGGAAACUACCUAAACUUCAUUAUUUCUCAUGUGAUGCCCAGUUGUCAGCAAAGAGAGUAACUAUAGUUUGCGGAUACAGGAAAUUACAUGGUAAGAUGAUAAGAAAAGUGUCCGUUGGCUAGCACACUGAGAAGCUGACUUUGUGUUUGAAGUUGUUUAUUACUGAUAUCAGGGACUUCUCUGGCUGGCCCUGGAUAUCUCGCCUUUCCUUCAGAGAUGAAUCCCAGCAUGCAGUGAAAAUAGGAUUACACUUGCAACUCAACAGUAGUGACCUGUUAUGAAAUAAGAGCACAUAGGUUCUUUGGUGGGUCAUUUUCAGUUUACUACCACUAGUUAACCUGUUGGAACAAAAGAAAUCCGUUUUGUUAGAAGUGACAUCUUGAAAGCAAUACUGACUUUGAACACUUACAUUUAUUUAGCCUCCCAGAGCUUAUCUCAAAGAACUACGAACUCUUCAAACAAAUUUGGUUAAGGGUAAAAGCCAUUGCAGAUAGAUGCCUGUUAACAUCCUUAGAGUCAAAAGUUUAUAGAUCCCCUCAGAAGUCUGGGUAAAAGACAGGGAGGCAAAAGCACAAAACCACAUUUUGGGUGGUCCUGGCAGAUUGCAAGCUGGAGAUAAAUUUUCAGCAACUCAGAAUGGUAGAGAGACUGAUAAAAUGAUUGUUCCAACAAUAGUUAUCUCUUGAGAAUAAGAGGAGGCAAGAAGUGAAAGAACAAGUCAAUAUUCAUCAUAAUACCCUUUAUGGGUAUAUCAGUUUGGGACUCAUGGGUUGUUUUUGUUUUUGUUAUUCUUUUUUUUACUAAAGACAAUUGUUUUUAUUUUUUUAAGUGAGCAUAGAAAUAUAAACACAAUAUAAUACAAAGCAUGCUCUAUGUGGAAAGAUGAAUGCCGGUAGAGAUGAUUUAAAAAGGGAGGCUAAAAAAUUACCCUCAGAGCAACUCUUGGAUAUCUGAAGCAAUCAUAGAAAGAAGAUACAAAGUGGAUCUUCUCUGUGUUUGCAAAAGACAAGCACAUGAGAAAUUACAGAAGUAGACUCUGGCUAGAAAUUGCUGCCGAUCCUCUCUAAUUUUAGCACAGGGAUGGGCCAUCACGGAAAAGUUUGGGAUCCCAGAGAUCUUUAGAAAGUGCUAGAGAGACAGCAAACCAGGAGAGAAAACCAUCGGAACCAUCCACCUUCAGUUCUGUUAAACACGAGAAAGGAACAAGAAUUCUUGUGCCACCUUCAUGGUCGUUGCUCCAGGUGUGGAAUCUCUCCAUCGGCCUAUCUUGGGCUCCUUCUCUUCCUCCCAAAGUUGGGUGUGCGUAGUUUACAAAGGACUGAAAUAGUUAAGGCAUUUUUGCAAUCGCAGAGGAGUGUCCAUCUUCACCGCACAAAUGAAAAUCAUCACCAUUCCAACAAAUCCAAUAUAACCAAGGAAAAUAACAAUACCAACAAAUGAAGCCAGCGUGAAGCCACUCAGCGCUGUGGUGCUGCAUUAAUCAUGUUGCUCUUGGAGAAUUUAAAGCUUUUAAUCAUGUAGGCCUGCAGUCUUUGGUUAAAACUCAUGGGCACUUUAUGGGUUUAUUUUGGGCCCCAGGGCCCCUGUAUUGUUCACUAAGUACAAUGAAAACCUGUUAAGGAUAAAGAAUAAAAAUUAAUGUCAAAGCGAAUAAAGGAACUGAAAAGGUCAAACCUCGUUCCUAGGGCCAAGGAAGAUGCCUGCCCAUGGAAAAGACCAUGGAAAUCCAAAUUAAAUAGCACGUUUCUGCCCAUAAAUUUGUGGAAGUAGCAAAAUUGCUGCAAAUGGCUUUCCAGCGGUUCUGCAUUUCAAACACAUAACAUGCAUAAGAACAUAUUAUGGAUAUACGUAAAUAUAUGUAUAAGCAAGAGAUAAAUUUCUCUUUUGUUCUUGUAAUCUGAAUACUUGAGUUAUCUAUUUAAUUAUCUGGCCUGAAGAAGAAAGGGAACACUCCCUCUCAGAAUAGCCCAUGUCAACCCUGGACAUACAUAUAUAAAGAGCAUGUAAGCUGGAGUUAUUGAAUGUGUUCCCCAAAUUUCUAAGCGCCUUUUCAUUUCUAUCUGCAGGAGAUACAUUAUCUUUAUGGAUGGGUGAGGUAUAUAUAUAUAUAUAUAUAUAUAUGCCAUCCUGAGUGGCUUCACGUUGGCUUCAUUUAUUGGUAUUGUUAUAUAUAUAUAAACCUACCAGCAGACAUUAAAAUUUUGGUAUCUAAUGAGCACCCAUUUUGUAGUAGAAAAUAAAAUACUGAUAUAACCCAAAAAUAUUAUUCUAUUUAUAUUUAAUUCUGUUUAUAUUUAAUCCCAACUUCAAUGCAUCACAAAUUCAUUUUAAAAGCAGGGUGAUGCUCUCAUUUCACACGUCAUUUAACAAUAAACACUAGGAUUUAGGGUGGUUCGGGAAGUGGAGUGGGACACACCAACAUCUUGCAAAUUAUAAAUAAAUAUUAAGAUCCACAAAUAGCUCAUUUGGUAGAAAAAGGUCAUAAAAUUUGAAGAGAAAAAAAUAACUGUUCUGCAGAUCUGCUUGUGCAGGUUUACCCCAUACAAUCACGAGUAAUCAGUGAAGCCAGGGUCUGUGAAACCCAGAAGAGGAUUUUGCCCUGCCUCCCGGGGCCAAGGGGUGUUCAGGAUCAGGGUGUUUCUCAGUAGGCUCCCUCCUGCUCCCCACUUGCACCGAGGAGAAAAUCCUUCCAUUGGCUCUGUGGCCACCCUGGCUAGGUUUUCAGGUAUCUUUGCUUUCCCUUCUCCCAUAGUCCUUACCUGGGUUACCAAAUCUGCUCAUCAACCUGACAGCACAAAUGGGUCCCUCAGAGCUUUUACCUUUACCUCUUCCAGGAGAGAAGUCCCAGCCAAGCACCAAGGAUGAUGCAUGUGCAUCUGUAGAUUCCACUGGUCAGAUCAGGUCUGGGUCAAAGGGCCUGCGUUGGCUCCACGUGUCCCUGGGGUGGGGGAGGAGAGAUGAGUCAGGGGAGGACCAUUCAGUGGUCAAUGUUCAGCACAACUCCAGGCAGACAAACACUGGUGGCAGCUCUGCCUUCACCUUGCAUGUGACCUCCAGACUCUUCCCCCGUCUGUCCCUUGAGCAUCAUAAAAGAAACUAAGAUGGAUCUCAAGUGAAAAUGGGAGUGACAGAUGAGGAGGAAAGGAAAGCCUCCAAAUGACUUUCUAGAGAAAAAGCCAAAUCUAGCCAGAGAAAACUCUACUUUGAAAAGAGACAUGCACCUCAAUGUUUACUGCAGCACUAUUUACAGUAGCCAAGACAUGGAAGCCAACCUAAACCACUCUGUCCAUCAGCAGAGGAAUGGGUAAACAAGAUGUGGUCCAUAUACACAGUGGCAUAUUACUCAGUCAUAAAAAGAAUGAAAUAAUGCCUUUUGCAGCGAUGUGGAUGGACCUAGUGAUUAUCAUACUGAGUGAAGUAAGUCAGACACAGAGAAAGACAAAUAUCGUAUGAUAUCAUUUCUGUGUGGACUCUAAUAAAAACUUCUUCAGAUGCCAAAGAACUUAAUUUACAAAACAGAAACAAACACAGAUUUCAAAGCCAAUCUUAUGGUUACCAUAGGUGAAUCCAUUGCGGGGAGGGAAGAAUUGGGAGUGUAGGGAUAAGACAUACACACCACCAUAUAAAUCGAUGAUUAAGGAGAACCUCCUGUAUAGGCUGGGAAAAUCUACUCAAUAGUUUGUAAUAACAUACACCGGAAAAAAGAAUGCAUGACUGAUUCGCUUUACUAUACACCUGAAACUAAUACAAUGUUGUAAGUCAAGUGUGUUGCAAUAAAAUAAAAGAAACAUCCAGGGUUCCCGGUUGUCAGGGAAGGUUUUGUGCCAGCAAGAAAGAGUCUAAUUCAAUCUAUAGCCUAUUCGAGGGGUUUUUUUAUUUGGCUUUUUGUGGAGGCACAUACACACAUACACCACAACAUAUAUUUAUAAGCCAGCGGCCCUUAAAUCAGAUGGAGGGUGAAUAAUAGGAGGAAAAUGAAUACCCAUUCUGGGCAGUCAAAAAGCUCCCUGUUCAUUUGAAAAUGCUUUAAGAUGUCAGGUUGAAAGGUGCCAGGCUAUUUGAAUAAAUGAAUUGAUCCAGGGGCAUUAUGGCUAUGGUUGUUGUGGGUAUUAUUACUCAAACAGCUGACAUUUUUUUUAAAAGUCAUGCAGUAGAAUCAGGAAAACUGUCUGGAGGUCGGCUUCCUAUUUUACUGACCACCUGUAUCAGCGGAGGCUGUGAAAAUAGACCAAGCAUUUAUUUUAGAAAAAAAUAAUAUAUUCAAAAUGCAUUCCUGCAUUUAGUUCCUUCCAAAUAAAUAAAAGCAUAUGUGUGAGUGGCUGUAGGCUAGUGUGCUCAGGUGUUGACACAUUGAAAUGGAGAUGUUUUCAGCACAAAAGGCCACAGGAAUAGUUGCCAGCCUGGUCACAACUCUAAAUGGGUGUUGAAAUAUUUCCUGUAACUUAAAAAGCGUGUAGGCUGGAGUUAUUGAAUGUGUUCCCUAAAUUUCCAGGAGCCUUUUUUUUUUAUCCACAAGAGCCAUAUUAUGCUCAUGGGUAGAUCUUUUAAAUGCUCUGCCGUGUGUGGGCUUAUGCAUAUUUGAUUUUUCAAAGGUGCCUCUAUUGGGUGCCCACACAUUAACUCCCAGUCUGCUGCAGCACCAAGGAUCAGGGUGCAAGAUA